This 893-nucleotide ribosomal RNA is filed under the name uncultured Chloroflexota bacterium. Its description in RNAcentral is "bacterial SSU rRNA". It matches the Rfam family "Bacterial small subunit ribosomal RNA", at positions 8 to 916 of the family's 1533-position model. The record is from RNAcentral. Lineage: Bacteria; Bacillati; Chloroflexota.
AGAGUUUGAUCCUGGCUCAGGAUGAACGCUGGCGGCGUGCUUAAUACAUGCAAGUCGAACGAAGACAGUAGCAAUAUUGUCUGAGUGGCGAACGGGUGAGUAACGCGUUGGUGACCUGCCCCGAAGAGAGGGAUAACAGUCCGAAAGGAUUGCUAAUACCCCAUGUGGUUAUUUGGAUUAGAUGCCUUAUAACUAAACGGAUUUAUUCGCUUCGGGAGGGACCUGCGUCCCAUCAGCUAGUUGGUAGGGUAACGGCCUACCAAGGCUAUGACGGGUAGGGGACCUGAGAGGGUGGCCCCCCCACAAUGGAACUGAAACACGGUCCAUACACCUACGGGUGGCAGCAGUAGGGAAUAUUGGUUAAUCUGCGAAAGCGGGAACCAGCAACGCCGCGUGCACGAUGAAGGCCUUCGGGUUGUAAAGUGCUUUUUGAAAGGAUGAGGAAGGACAGUACUUUCAGAAUAAGCUUCGGCUAACUACGUGCCAGCAGCCGCGGUAAAACGUAGGAAGCGAGCGUUAUCCGGAUUUACUGGGCGUAAAGCGUGUGUAGGCGGUUUGACAAGUUGGAUGUGAAAGCUCCUGGCUUAACUGGGAGAGGUCGUUCAAAACUGUCAGACUCGAGAGUGGUAGAGGGAGGUGGAAUUCCGGGUGUAGUGGUGAAAUGCGUAGAUAUCCGGAGGAACACCAGUGGCGAAAGCGGCCUCCUGGCCCAUUUCUGACGCUCAGACACGAAAGCUAAGGUAGCAAACGGGAUUAGAGACCCCGGUAGUCUUAGCUGUAAACGAUGUGAACUUAGUGUCGGCGGGUUUAAAUCCGUCGGUACUGAAGCAAACGCGAUAAGUUCACCGCCUGGGGACUACGGCCGCGAGGUUAAAACUCAAAGGAAUUGACGG